ACGUAGGUCCCGAGCGUUAUCCGGAUUUACUGGGCGUAAAGGGCGCGUAGGCGGCCACCGCAAGUCGACUGUGAAAUCUCCGGGCUUAACCCGGAAAGGUCAGCCGAUACUGCGGGGCUAGAGUGCAGAAGGGGCAACUGGAAUUCUCGGUGUAGCGGUGAAAUGCGUAGAUAUCGAGAGGAACACCUGCGGCGAAGGCGGGUUGCUGGGCUGACACUGACGCUGAGGCGCGAAAGCUAGGGGAGCGAACGGGA
Molecule: ribosomal RNA, 254 nt
Filed under: uncultured prokaryote
Description: partial 16S ribosomal RNA
Rfam family: Bacterial small subunit ribosomal RNA
Source: RNAcentral